CUUGGAAUCAAAGGUAAUCUUCAACUCUUAAUUACAAACGAAAGAUUGAUGAAGAAAGAGAUUUUGACGACGAAAUGUGAAGGAAUAAUAUAACAAUACUUAGGACCACAGCUGUUAUGGAAUCCCUCAUUCGGAACCACGAAAACAAAAAUGAGCAGAUUCAACUGAAAAAGAUAAUAUCUAAAGUGAAGGAACUCAUGACAGCGAUGUUGAUCUUCAAUGUAUUGAAACGCUUGACAAAAAAGGUUGGGAGGCCUCGAGUU
Molecule: long non-coding RNA, 263 nt
Organism: Solanum dulcamara
Lineage: Eukaryota; Viridiplantae; Streptophyta; Magnoliopsida; Solanales; Solanaceae
Exons: 3
Source: RefSeq, a predicted model, not a curated record